Molecule: long non-coding RNA, 199 nt
Organism: Mytilus californianus (California mussel)
Lineage: Eukaryota; Metazoa; Mollusca; Bivalvia; Mytilida; Mytilidae
Exons: 3
Source: RefSeq, a predicted model, not a curated record
AAAUAGAGACUAUGUUAACUGAUACACAUAUACUUUCUGAAUGUACCAUGUAUCAAUCUAUAUAAGUUCCUAGUGUUCGGAAUCUUUCGUUUCAUUUAUUUUAUCUGACAUGCAAGUUCUUGUAUAUUUUAGGCCAAGGUGAACGACAGCCAACUGGUAAAGUUGAAAUACAGCCAUCUGUGUCAGAUGUUCUAACUAC